This 375-nucleotide ribosomal RNA is filed under the name uncultured bacterium. Its description in RNAcentral is "bacterial SSU rRNA". It matches the Rfam family "Bacterial small subunit ribosomal RNA", at positions 524 to 898 of the family's 1533-position model. The record is from RNAcentral.
UACGGAGGGUGCAAGCGUUAAUCGGAAUUACUGGGCGUAAAGCGCACGCAGGCGGUCUGUCAAGUCGGAUGUGAAAUCCCCGGGCUCAACCUGGGAACUGCAUCCGAAACUGGCAGGCUAGAGUCUUGUAGAGGGGGGUAGAAUUCCAGGUGUAGCGGUGAAAUGCGUAGAGAUCUGGAGGAAUACCGGUGGCGAAGGCGGCCCCCUGGACAAAGACUGACGCUCAGGUGCGAAAGCGUGGAGAGCAAACAGGAUUAGAUACCCUGGUAGUCCACGCCGUAAACGAUGUCGACUUGGAGGUGGUGCCCUUGAGGCGUGGGUGCCGGAGCUAACGCGUUAAGUAGACCGCCUGGGGAGUACGGCCGCAAGGUUAAA